UACGGGGGGGACAAGCGUUGUCCGGAUUUACUGGGCGUAAAGAGCGCGCAGGCGGUCGAUCAAGUCGAGUGUGAAAGCCCCCGGCUCAACUGGGGAGGGUCAUUCGAUACUGAUCGACUCGAAGGCAGGAGAGGGUAGUGGAAUUCCCGGUGUAGUGGUGAAAUGCGUAGAUAUCGGGAGGAACACCAGUGGCGAAGGCGACUACCUGGCCUGUUCUUGACGCUGAGGCGCGAAAGCUAGGGGAGCAAACGGG
This 253-nucleotide ribosomal RNA is filed under the name uncultured bacterium. Its description in RNAcentral is "partial 16S ribosomal RNA". It matches the Rfam family "Bacterial small subunit ribosomal RNA", at positions 524 to 776 of the family's 1533-position model. The record is from RNAcentral.